RNAcentral lists this long non-coding RNA (1983 nucleotides) under Piliocolobus tephrosceles (Ugandan red Colobus). RNAcentral's name for it is "lncRNA (ENSPTEG00000003083.1)". The record is from RNAcentral. Lineage: Eukaryota; Metazoa; Chordata; Mammalia; Primates; Cercopithecidae.
GAAGAAUAUAUAAGUAAUAUUUUUGAGUGUCUACCAUCUAACAAAUUACAAAUACAAAAUGAUAAGAAAUUUUUAAUUGAACGCUUUUGUGAUUUUUUUGUUUAUUAUAAUUGCCAUAAAUUUCUAUUAACAUUAAUAAAAAAGCAAUGUGAAAAUAAAAUAAAUUUAUUUUUUACAAACUUGGAUACACAAAUAAAUAAUAAAGAGUUUGAAGUUGCAGAAACCUUUUUAGAAUAUUAUAUCAAUACUUGGAAUAACUUUGUAUCUGUUAUUUUACAUUUAGAAGACAUAUUAUCAUCUUUUUUUUUAUAUAAUAAAAUUCCUUUUAAGUGUAAAAAUAAACCUGUUAAUAUAUUUGUUAAUUUAUGGGAAUUGUAUAUGCACAAAUUUAUAAAUAUCAAACGCUUAUUUAUGUUAAGUAUUUGUGAAUAUUUAAAACAGGAUAGAAAAUUUAGCCAACAAAAUUUUUAUCAGUAUAUAUGUAUGGAUGUAUAUGAAAAUCAAGUCGAGUAUAAAGAAAUUGAAGAUAAUAACUUUAGCACAUUUAACUGGGAUAAAUGGACGAAUAAUGAUUAUUUCAAAAGCCCUUUUACUGAAUUAAAAAAGGAAGUGCUUGAUAUUAUAAAUGGAAAUGAUGAUGGGCGUUUUAUGAAAGCAGUAUCACUUUAUGAUAAUUAUCACUGUGAUAGGGUUACCAUGGAUUCUUUAAAAAAAACAUCAGACAAUAAUAGUAAUGUCACGCAGGGUAAUAAAAUAAUUAUUGACAAUGUCAGUAGUAAUAAUAAUAAUAAUAAUAACGACAAAAAUAGUAAGACGUAUAAAAUAAAAAAUGAACUACUAAUAUUAAGUAAAGGUAUAUUAGAUAAAUUAUCUUUGUAUAACGAGUUUGAAGGUAUUUAUUUAAAUGAAGCCUAUACAUAUUAUGAAAAAAUUGUAACAGAUUAUGAUAUAUUAAUAAAAGAGUGUGGUAAGAGUGACAGCAAUAGUAACCAUUAUAUACAUGAUUUACCAAUUAUAAUUGAAAAAACAUUAUGUCAUGAAUAUAUAAGAUGCUCUAGAUUUUUAAAAUCUCGUACCCAAUAUUACUUGAUAAAAAUAUUAAAUAAACUUUUAGUUAUUAAUCUUAAAGAAAAAUUAUUUGAUGAAGAAUAUAUUAAAGAUUGUAUUAUCAAUGAAAAAUAUGAUUCUUUACGUAUCUUACAUAUAUUUUCUGACAAUUUGAACAUAGAAACAGAAUUUGCUAAUUUAUUUUUUAACGCUAGUGUACACUUGGGUGUUAAUUUAAUUAGUAAUUUAAUAAAUAAAAGAAAUGACAUUAAUCAAUUAAAUAAUUGUGUAAUUCAAUUAGUUAAUUUAAAACUAAACAUUGAUAGAUGUAUCAUAAUAGCAUUCCAUUCUUCUGAUGCUUUUAAAAAAAAUUGGAAAAAAAUAUUUGAAUGUAUAUUAAAUAAAGGGACCCAGACUGAACAUUAUAUGCCUAUUAUACUUAGUUUGUAUUUAAAUAACGCACUAAUGAUAUAUAAUGCUUGUUUAAAUAAAAUUUUUAAAAAUAGUACAAAUAAUUAUAAUUUUCACACAUCAGAAAACACAGAAUAUAAUUUAUUUUAUGACCCAGAGUGGUCUAAUAUGUAUAAAGAAAAAUAUUUUGCUUCCAAAAAAAUCGAGGAUACUGUUUCAACUGAUUCGGAUAGUAUAUACUUUGUAAAAAAAAUGUUAAGAAAGAAAAAAAAAAAAAAAAAAAAAAAAAAAAAAAGUAACACCAGUAAUGUACUCAUAAAAGAACCCGACGGGUUGUGUUCUAACAAUUAUAACAAUAGCAAUAGUUGCAAUCGUGAUAAUUUUAAUGAUUACACUUUUAAUAAUGACGAACAAGAUAAGAUAUUACAAAUACAUUUAAAAAAAAUGGAAGAUAGGAUUUACAAAUACCGUGCUAUAUGUAAUAGAACCAUCAAUCUUAUAUUAACUAUUAUUAGUCUAUUCAAA